AGGUCGGGCCUUUCAGGCAUCCUCUCCCAAACUUCAAAAGGGCCGCCCGGCAACGGUGCGGCCCCUUUUUUUGCCUGCU
This 79-nucleotide small RNA is filed under the name Novosphingobium sp. B1. RNAcentral's name for it is "suhB". It matches the Rfam family "Makes More Granules Regulator RNA (mmgR)". Rfam says of the family: SuhB later renamed mmgR (makes more granules regulator) was a putative non-coding RNA found multiple times in the Agrobacterium tumefaciens genome and related alpha-proteobacteria. Other non-coding RNAs uncovered in the same analysis include: speF, ybhL, metA, and serC. Lineage: Bacteria; Pseudomonadati; Pseudomonadota; Alphaproteobacteria; Sphingomonadales; Sphingomonadaceae. The record is from RNAcentral.